Molecule: non-coding RNA, 194 nt
Organism: Ceratotherium simum simum (southern white rhinoceros)
Lineage: Eukaryota; Metazoa; Chordata; Mammalia; Perissodactyla; Rhinocerotidae
Source: RefSeq, a predicted model, not a curated record
UCUAUGUUCAUCAUGAGCUGCAGGAAGAGCAGGUCCCUAGAAAGAUCUCAGUCUGUUCUUCAAUAAGGAAUAAAGUCAUGUCUGUGGGAUGUAGGGAGAGUCCAAAGGAGAAGGAAGAGCUGAGAUUCAGGGGCUUGGUGCAUUCAAGACAGGCUAGAAAGACAGGACAGAGAAGGGAGGCUCCAUCACCACCA